UCCACUGGCGGGUGCUAUACAUGCAGUCGAGCGGACAGAUGGGAGCUUGCUCCCUGAUGUUAGCGGCGGACGGGUGAGUAACACGUGGGUAACCUGCCUGUAAGACUGGGAUAACUCCGGGAAACCGGGGCUAAUACCGGAUGGUUGUCUGAACCGCAUGGUUCAGACAUAAAAGGUGGCUUCGGCUACCACUUACAGAUGGACCCGCGGCGCAUUAGCUAGUUGGUGAGGUAACGGCUCACCAAGGCGACGAUGCGUAGCCGACCUGAGAGGGUGAUCGGCCACACUGGGACUGAGACACGGCCCAGACUCCUACGGGAGGCAGCAGUAGGGAAUCUUCCGCAAUGGACGAAAGUCUGACGGAGCAACGCCGCGUGAGUGAUGAAGGUUUUCGGAUCGUAAAGCUCUGUUGUUAGGGAAGAACAAGUGCCGUUCAAAUAGGGCGGCACCUUGACGGUACCUAACCAGAAAGCCACGGCUAACUACGUGCCAGCAGCCGCGGUAAUACGUAGGUGGCAAGCGUUGUCCGGAAUUAUUGGGCGUAAAGGGCUCGCAGGCGGUUUCUUAAGUCUGAUGUGAAAGCCCCCGGCUCAACCGGGGAGGGUCAUUGGAAACUGGGGAACUUGAGUGCAGAAGAGGAGAGUGGAAUUCCACGUGUAGCGGUGAAAUGCGUAGAGAUGUGGAGGAACACCAGUGGCGAAGGCGACUCUCUGGUCUGUAACUGACGCUGAGGAGCGAAAGCGUGGGGAGCGAACAGGAUUAGAUACCCUGGUAGUCCACGCCGUAAACGAUGAGUGCUA
Molecule: ribosomal RNA, 800 nt
Filed under: Bacillus velezensis
Lineage: Bacteria; Bacillati; Bacillota; Bacilli; Caryophanales; Bacillaceae
Description: bacterial SSU rRNA
Rfam family: Bacterial small subunit ribosomal RNA
Source: RNAcentral